UGUUACAACAUGUUAAAUCAUUUAACUAAUAAAUAACAGAAUUUAUUAUAAUAAAACAUUAUAGGCCUAUUAUAAAAUAUUUUUUAUUUCAUAAUGCCUUUUUUUCGUCAUUUUUUUUUCUAUUUUCAUCAAACAGACCUUGAUCAUGUGGAAUGUCAUGAACAUACUUUUAAAAGCCUUGAAAUAACAGCAGCUACAAAAAAAUUAUAUCUACAUUUGGGAUUUAAAUUCCAUAACAGGUUUAUCCAUGAAACGAGUAAAUUAAACCAACUUUACAUAAUCAAAUGGAUGAUGAUGACGAUGGCAUUAGACUCACAGAAAUAGAUUUCAAAUGUCGCUGUGAUGUACCUUUAAUUAGAUUUUAAAGUAAGGCUAAAAAGGCAGAUCAGCGGUCCUUAAAGUACUUUAAAUUAUUUUAAAGCUGUACCAUAUUUCUGUUUGCAGGUUAAAUAUACUAAAGCUAUGAAACCGCUUCUAAAAAUAAUAAAUUCUUCCCUUUGCAGUAACUAUGCACCUAAAUCAUUUAAACUAGCAGUUAUCAAAAUCUUGAUUCAAAAAUCUGACCUCGACCCCUGUCAACUGUCCAGCUAUAGACAAAUAUCAAAUCUCCUCUUUAUGUCCAAGAUCUUAGAAAACGUUGUACAUUUACAUAGGAAAGUGUAUACUUCUUUGUAUACUUACUGUCACGUAUCGUGACGGAGCGGAGAUAGGACAGAUGCACGUGCAGUAUGAACCGUGUUUAUUUUCAAAGAGAGACAGGCAGACAAAUCCAAAACGUAAUCCAAAACAGGCACAGGUCAGGCGAUCGGCAAACAGGCAUACACAGGGUUAAACAUGAAUCAAGGUCGUGGUCACAGAAAACAGGGUCGAUUAACAAAACGAGAAACAUGAACUAUGACGAGGAACUGAGAGCGGAUAAUCCAGUGUGAACUAACUCUAAACAAGGAACGUGACUAUGACUACUAAACAAACUAAUCUAACUCUACAAUAAUCUUCCGCGUUGUGUGCUGGGAGGCACGCGGUAUAUAAGUGGACAUGAACAGCGUCUAAACUGCUAGCAGCUGAGGUCAAUACAGACACACGUGAAAUCCCAGCCAAUGACAGAACAGGGAGGAGACAUGACAGAAACAUAAACAAAACACACGUGUCCAGAUGUCACCACUGUCAACAAUGGAAAAGCAGGUGCUCGCGCAUUCGCGCUUAGAGCACGCUGCUUCAAGGGGGAAUCAUGACACUUACAUAGGAACAACAUUCCUGAAAUGUACCAGUCAGUAUUUAGGCCUCACCAUAGCACAGAGACAGCGCUGGUUAAAGUAGUAAAUGACCUACUACUAACCUCUGAUCAGGGUUGUGUCUCCUUGCUUGUGUUACUUGACCUUAGUGUAGCUUUUGAUACUAUGGAUCAUAUUAUUCUCCUUGAUAGAUUAGAAAAUGUUGUUGACAUUAAGGGAAUGGCUGUUGGUUGGCUGUGUCAACAGACUCAGGCGUGAGCAGAACAUGCUUGUCUGUGUCAGCAGACUCGGGCAUGAGAAGAUCUUGGUUGGUCGUGAUGUCGGCUUCAGGCGUGAGUAGAACCUGGUUGGUCAUGACGUCAGCUUCAGACAUGAGCAGAUCCUGGUUGGUCAUGACGUUGGCUUCAGACGUGAGCAUAACUUGGUUGGUCGUGACUUCGGUUUCAGGCAUGAGGAGAAGUUGGUUGGUCAUGUCAACAGACUCAGGCGUGAGCAUAACUUGGUUGUCCAUGUCAGCGACCUUGGACUGGAACUUGGUGUGGGUGAUCGGCUCGUCGAUCUCAGACUGGAACUUGGUACGGAAGGUCACAUCGUCGAUCUCAGAGUGGAACUUGACAUGGGAGGUCACCUUGUUGACCUUUAGCUGAACUUGCCAUGGAAGGUCAUAUCGUCGAUCUCAGAUUGGAACCUGUCUUGGGAGGCUGUCUCUUCACCUUUAUUUUUUCGACCCCUUUCUACGUCUAGGGGUCAGAAUGAACAUGGGCACAGAGGGAGAGUAAUGUGACUGAAACAUUCAUCAUUCUCAAGUAUAUGAAACCAUGAGUGAAAUUUUCAACAGA
Molecule: long non-coding RNA, 2071 nt
Organism: Ictalurus punctatus (channel catfish)
Lineage: Eukaryota; Metazoa; Chordata; Actinopteri; Siluriformes; Ictaluridae
Source: Ensembl